UCCACCUUUGCUGCGCUGGGUGCUGGGGUCACUCAGUGCCAGGGUGACAGCCUCCCUGAGUGCAAGGGUUUGCAGUCAGCUCACUGCUCAUCACAGAAGACUGCAGUGUUUUUUUAAGGAGAAAGGAAACGAAGUCCCCCAUGAUCGUCCACAUUUUGGCCCUGCUGAAAAGGUCUUGGAAAACAAGCUGGAACCUGUCAGAACCCAAGCAAGGGCACAGUCAGCCUCCUGCUGAGCUUCCAGCCCUGUUCCCAGGCUCUGCAGCUCCCCAUGGCCUCCAGAAGACACUCAAAAAAUGUCACCCUGCCUUGGGGCCAGAGUCACAAAUGAGUGUCUGGGAGAGUCCUGGCCCAGUACAGGCCCUGGAAGAAUAGUCACCCAACAGGCAAAUGAAUGAAUGAAAACUCCAAAGGUCUCAAUUCCUGAAAUUGUGCCGUGUAUGCUGGGGCACUGAAAUGUUAAGGAGCCUUGGCAGUCAUAUCUGUACAAUGGGCAAAAUAAAACAAGAACACCACCAGGUGCCUGCCUCAUAGGGUCACUGAAUAUUCAAACAAGGGGGUGAAGGUGCGAACACCUCAUGACCACACUAUGCUGAGGAACUCAUGUGCACAGCACCCACAUCUGGACCUGUGGGCAUCUUUCCUUCUCUGGCUGCUGUGGUUCCCGACGGCUUCAGCCCAUGCUGUGACC
RNAcentral lists this long non-coding RNA (690 nucleotides) under Chinchilla lanigera (long-tailed chinchilla). Its description in RNAcentral is "lncRNA (ENSCLAG00000023501.1)". The record is from RNAcentral. Lineage: Eukaryota; Metazoa; Chordata; Mammalia; Rodentia; Chinchillidae.